UGUGAAUGUGAUAUAAGAUAUUGGUAUGUAUUGUUGAUUGUUUAUUGAUGAAAAUUUAUAUGUGAAAGACUUACUGGGAACUCAAGAAAAAAGUAGAUAGGCCCAGUACAUAGGGAACCCUACCAUGAAUGUUACCUCAGUCAGACGGAAAUAAAGUUCCUUACCGAAAAGGUUUAAGAGAUAUAAUUCACCCUUAUACCGGACGGGGUAUCGAGACGAUGGAAUGUUUGGCACUCAUUAUCGGACGAGGUAUGGGGAUGGUCGAUUAAUUGUUAAAAUUGGUUAUUGGGUUCACGAGUAGGGAAAAUACCCCUAUGGACCCCCUAGGGUACCAGUAAGUAAGUAAGGAAGAAAAGUUAUUAUUUCUUGUUCUCUUAUGUGUGAAAUUGAAGAGUGAUAUGGAUAUGAGUUUUCAUAGGUUGUUUUGGAAAACUCGUUACGGUAAGCUCUUAAUAAACGAUCUUCUUUAUAUUAAAUGAAUUUACUCAAAUUAAUUGCUCAAUUAGUUAUUUUAUGAUUUUUACCAAUCUUUAGUUUUUUGUAUCUGUGAUUAGUGUGAUAUUCUUAUUGGACUAGUGUAGCUCACUCUUUCAUUAACAAUUUUAUAUCAAGAGAACCAAGAUCCAGAUCUCGAUCAGCGAGAGGAUUGUGAGUAGUUCACUAUCUAGACUCCCUUCAAGUGGUAGUGAAGGUUGUCCUAUGAUGUUUAGUUAUUCACUUUUC
This 723-nucleotide long non-coding RNA is filed under the name Carica papaya (papaya). RNAcentral describes it as "long non-coding RNA (CPAP_LNC003939)". The record is from RNAcentral. Lineage: Eukaryota; Viridiplantae; Streptophyta; Magnoliopsida; Brassicales; Caricaceae.